This 447-nucleotide ribosomal RNA is filed under the name uncultured bacterium. RNAcentral describes it as "partial 16S ribosomal RNA". It matches the Rfam family "Bacterial small subunit ribosomal RNA", at positions 338 to 795 of the family's 1533-position model. The record is from RNAcentral.
CCUACGGGAGGCAGCAGUCGAGAAUCAUUCACAAUGGGGGAAACCCUGAUGGUGCGACGCCGCGUGGGGGAAUGAAGGUCUUCGGAUUGUAAACCCCUGUCAUGUGGGAGCAAAUUAAAAAGAUAGUACCACAAGAGGAAGAGACGGCUAACUCUGUGCCAGCAGCCGCGGUAAUACAGAGGUCUCAAGCGUUGUUCGGAAUCACUGGGCGUAAAGCGUGCGUAGGCUGUUUCGUAAGUCGUGUGUGAAAGGCGCGGGCUCAACCCGCGGACGGCACAUGAUACUGGGAGACUAGAGUAAUGGAGGGGGAACCGGAAUUCUCGGUGUAGCAGUGAAAUGCGUAGAUAUCGAGAGGAACACUCGUGGCGAAGGCGGGUUACUGGACAUUAACUGACGCUGAGGCACGAAGGCCAGGGGAGCGAAAGGGAUUAGAUAACCCGAGUAGUC